This 76-nucleotide transfer RNA is filed under the name Romeriopsis navalis LEGE 11480. Its description in RNAcentral is "tRNA-Asn". It matches the Rfam family "tRNA". From Rfam's summary of the family: Transfer RNA (tRNA) molecules are approximately 80 nucleotides in length. Their secondary structure includes four short double-helical elements and three loops (D, anti-codon, and T loops). Lineage: Bacteria; Bacillati; Cyanobacteriota; Cyanophyceae; Leptolyngbyales; Leptolyngbyaceae. The record is from RNAcentral.
UGGGGUGUAGUUCAACUGGCAGAGCGCCGGAUUGUUACUCCGGAAGUUGGAGGUUCGAAGCCUCUCACCCCAGCCA